Molecule: ribosomal RNA, 468 nt
Filed under: uncultured bacterium
Lineage: Bacteria
Description: partial 16S ribosomal RNA
Rfam family: Bacterial small subunit ribosomal RNA
Source: RNAcentral
GACGAACGCUGGCGGCGUGCUUAACACAUGCAAGUCGAACGGCAAGGCCCUGCUUUCGUGGGGUGCCCGAGUGGCGAACGGGUGAGUAACACGUGUGUAACCUGCCCUUGACUUUGGGAUAACUUCAGGAAACUGGGGCUACUAUCGGAUAGGAGCUCCUGCUGCAUGGUGGGGGUUGGAACGUCUCGGCGGUUGUGGAUGGACUGGCGGCUUAUCAGCUUGUUGGUGGGGUAGUGGCUUACCAAGGCAUUGACGGGUAGCCGGCCUGAGAGGGGGACCGGCGACAUGGGGACUGAGAGACGGCCCAGACUCCAACGGGAGGCAGCAGUGGGGAAUAUUGCACAAUGGGCGGAAGCCUGAUGCAGCAACGCCGCGUGCGGGAUGACGGCCUUCGGGUUGUAAACCGCUUUCGCCUGUGACGAAGCGUGAGUGACGGUAAUGGGUAAAGAAGCACCGGCUAACUACGUG